UGGUGCCAGCAGCCGCGGUAAUUCCAGCUCCAAUAGCGUAUAUUAAACUUGUUGCAGUUAAAAAGCUCGUAGUUGAAUUUCUGCUGUUUCGUUGACUGCGUUUGGCGUUUGUCAUCGUUGCGGCUUGGUUGGGUUUCGAUUAUUCGUUUCCCGGUGUUUACUUUGAGAAAAUUAAAGUGCUUGAAGCAGGCUUUUGCCUUGAAUACUUUAGCAUGGAAUAACGGAGUAGGACUUUGGUUCUAUUUUGUUGGUUUUAGGAGCCAGAGUAAUGGUUAAUAGGAACAGUUGGGGGCAUUCGUAUUUGACUGUCAGAGGUG
This 317-nucleotide ribosomal RNA is filed under the name Theileria equi. Its description in RNAcentral is "SSU rRNA". It matches the Rfam family "Eukaryotic small subunit ribosomal RNA", at positions 562 to 913 of the family's 1831-position model. The record is from RNAcentral. Lineage: Eukaryota; Apicomplexa; Aconoidasida; Piroplasmida; Theileriidae.